Molecule: long non-coding RNA, 1332 nt
Filed under: Lactuca sativa (garden lettuce)
Lineage: Eukaryota; Viridiplantae; Streptophyta; Magnoliopsida; Asterales; Asteraceae
Description: long non-coding RNA (LSAT_LNC003580)
Source: RNAcentral
UUAUAUACAUAUAUUAAAAACCAACAUGCUUAUCAACAGUAAACUUUUCCGCUUUCAUAUUUUAACCACAGUAUUAUGCACAAAACGACUCUUUUCGCCCUUCUACAUUUGCAACUGUCCUUCUUGCACAAACGAAUAUACCCGACGUAGAUGGUUUCAUACAUUUCUCGCAGUCUUUUCAUCUAAGAACUUACAUUCUCGAAUCCAACUCCUCCGAUUCAUAAGGUAUUUCGACUGCAAUCUCUUUCUCUUUCAUGUUUCAUCAUCGACUUCUCCCACUCUUACUCAAUUUAUUCUCAAUUUUGACAAAACUGUUUCUUGAUAUGCAAAAUUUUCUGAUUUCUGAUUUCGUUUCCGACUCUCUGCAAUUGAUGUUUCUGCUGUCUUCUCCUCCAAGAAUUAACAGUUUUGACUCCAACUCUUCCGAUUGAUAAGGUAUAUCAAUUUCAGUCUCUUUCAUCUUCUGAUCAUCGAUUUUCCCCAAUGUUUCUGAAUUUGUUCAACUUAUCGACAAAAAAAAUUUCUUAAUGUGUACAUUUUCUGAUUUCUGAUUUCAUUCUGAAUCUCUAGAAUUGGCAUCCCCGCCGUCUUCUCCUCUAACAAUUUACUCUGUAGUGUUUAUUCUCCAAGCGAAGACCCUCUUUUGCAAUUAUCACACCUCCCCGCCCCCUCCAGUGGAAACGAUAAUAUCUCAUUCUUGCAAUUGUAGUGAAAGCGGCACCGGUGGCGAUGGUGGCUUCCACACAACCGUCUUCCGAUUGAUGCAAGAGGAUUGGUCCAUCUGUUGCUCCUGUAUUAUAGGGCUCUAUCAAUUUGGGCAACGAUUUUGAGCAAUCGGUGACGAAUUUUGUUGGAGGUCGGCAGUUUCCAUUUAAAGAUGUAAAUGCCCUGAGAAGAUUUCGAUCGUCAAGUCUAAGAAGAAAAAGAGCGUCGCCACGCUUUGCGUAAGGUCGAUUCAAUAUGUAUUUUCUGAAAUAGCUCCAUUAUAUUUCCUCUUUUGUUUCAUUCAACAACAUAAUUGUGCAAUUGACGUAAGAUGAAAUUAGGGCUUUUUGUUUUGGUUUUAUAUUAUUCAAUUUCUCAGAAGAUCAAGAAUUUGGGGAAUCAUGGACUUCCUUAUUGGUCUGAUGUGUUUAGCAGCGUUGGAAGUUUACUCCCUAUCAAUGGAGGGAAGGCUGCUCAACAGACCAAUUUAUCAUCAAUGGUUCCUCAUUUCUUCUUUUUUCUAAAGAUUGAACUGACAUUUCUUCUUUGUUCCAAAGACUGACCUAACAUUCGAGUAAUUUUCACUGCUAAUCUUUGUCUUUGAGAAGUAGUGCAUCAUCUAAACGA